GAUGAAGAACGCAGCGAAAUGCGAUAAGUAAUGCGAAUUGCAGAAUUCAGUGAAUCAUCGAAUCUUUGAACGCACAUUGCGCCCGCCAGCAUUCUGGCGGGCAUGCCUGUUCGAGCGUCAUUUCAACCCUCGAGCCCCCCCGGGGGCCUCGGUGUUGGGGGACGGCACACCAGCCGCCCCCGAAAUGCAGUGGCGACCCCGCCGCAGCCUCCCCUGCGUAGUAGCACACACCUCGCACCGGAGCGCGGAGGCGGUCACGCCGUAAAACGCCCAACUUUCUUAGAGUUGACCUCGGAUCAGGUAGGAAUACCCGCUGAACUUAAGCAUAUCAAUAAGCGGAGGA
RNAcentral lists this unclassified non-coding RNA (343 nucleotides) under soil metagenome. RNAcentral's name for it is "partial contains 5.8S ribosomal RNA, internal transcribed spacer 2, and large subunit ribosomal RNA". The stretch from base 1 to 120 matches the Rfam family "5.8S ribosomal RNA", at positions 35 to 154 of the family's 154-position model. The record is from RNAcentral.